UUAGGCGAAGUCAUUGAUCCUAUGCUGCCUAGAAAAGCCCAGCAGCGAGUUGACAUGGUGCCCGUACCCCAAACCAACACAGGUGGACAGGUAGAGCAUACCAAGGCGAGUGGGAUAACUAUGGUUAAGGAACUCGGCAAAUUGCCUCCGUAACUUCGGGAGAAGGAGGACCCCAGUAGCGUGAUGAGACUUGCUCUCUGAGCGUGAAGGGGUGGCACAAAAUUGAGGGAAGCGACUGUUUACCAAAAACACAGCAGCGUGCUAAGCCGUAAGGCGCUGUAUACGCUGUGACUCCUGCCCGGUGCUGGAAGGUUACGGGGAUGGGUUAGUCCUUCGGGACGAAGCUCUGAACCUAAGCCCCAGUAAACGGCGGCCGUAACUAUAACGGUCCUAAGGUAGCGAAAUUCCUUGUCGGGUAAGUUCCGACCUGCACGAAUGGAGUAACGACUUCCCUACUGUCUCAACCAUAGACCCAGCGAAAUUGAAGUACGAGUAAAGAUGCUCGUUAGCUGCAGAAGGACGGAAAGACCCCGUGGACCUUUACUAUAACUUGAUGUUGUGUUUUGUCAUAUGUUGUGUAGGAUAGGUGGGAGACUUGGAAGCAUGGACGCUAGUCUGUGUGGAGUCAUCGUUGAAAUACCACCCUGCAUAUGGUGAGGCUCUAACCUAGACCCGUUAUCCGGGUUGGGGACAGCGUCAGGCGGGUAGUUUAACUGGGGCGGUUGCCUCCUAAAGAGUAACGGAGGCGCCCAAAGGUUCCCUCAGCCUGGUUGGCAAUCAGGCGUUGAGUGCAAUGGCAAAAGGGAGCUUGACUGCGAGACCUACAAGUCGAGCAGGAGCGAAAGCUGGGCAUAGUGAUCCGGCGGUUGCGUGUGGAAGCGCCGUCGCUCAACGGAUAAAAGGUACCCCGGGGAUAACAGGCUAAUCUUGCCCAAGCGUCCAUAGCGACGGCAAGGUUUGGCACCUCGAUGUCGGCUCAUCGCAUCCUGGGGCUGAAGCAGGUCCCAAGGGUUGGGCUGUUCGCCCAUUAAAGCGGUACGCGAGCUGGGUUCAGAACGUCGUGAGACAGUUCGGUCCCUAUCCUCUGCAGCCGGAGGUGAAUUGAGGAAAGCUGUCCCUAGUACGAGAGGACCGGGACGGACGCAGCUCUCGUGUGCCAGUUGUCCUGCCAAGGGCAUGGCUGGUUAGCGACCUGCGGAAAGGAUAACCGCUGAAAGCAUCUAAGCGGGAAGCCUCUUCCAAGAUGAAUUCACCCACAGGGUUAACCUGGUAAGGCCCGUGGUAGACCACCACGUUGAUAGGCCGGAAGUGUAAGCGUGGCAACACGUUCAGCUGACCGGUACUAAUCGGCCGAGGGCUUGACU
Molecule: ribosomal RNA, 1364 nt
Filed under: metagenome
Description: bacterial LSU rRNA
Rfam family: Bacterial large subunit ribosomal RNA
Source: RNAcentral